ACUGAAACUCAAAGGAAUUGACGGGGGCCCGCACAAGCGGUGGAGCAUGUGGUUUAAUUCGAAGCAACGCGAAGAACCUUACCAGGUCUUGACAUCCUCUGACAACUCUAAAGAUAGAGCGUUCCCCUUCGGGGGACAGAGUGACAGGUGGUGCAUGGUUGUCGUCAGCUCGUGUCGUGAGAUGUUGGGUUAAGUCCCGCAACGAGCGCAACCCUUGAUCUUAGUUGCCAGCAUUUAGUUGGGCACUCUAAGGUGACUGCCGGUGACAAACCGGAGGAAGGUGGGGAUGACGUCAAAUCAUCAUGCCCCUUAUGACCUGGGCUACACACGUGCUACAAUGGAUGGUACAAAGGGCUGCAAGACCGCAAAGGUCAAGCCAAUCCCAUAAAACCAUUCUCAGUUCGGAUUGAACGCUGCAACUCACCUACAUGAAUCUGAAAUCACUAAUAAUCGCAAAUCACGUGCCGGGCUGAAUAUUUUCCCGGGGUUUGUACACAGGGGGGGGAUACAGAGGGGAAAAAACCCCUUUCCCCCCGGUGUUCCCCCCAAAUUCU
Molecule: ribosomal RNA, 554 nt
Filed under: Bacillus sp. (in: firmicutes)
Lineage: Bacteria; Bacillati; Bacillota; Bacilli; Caryophanales; Bacillaceae
Description: Bacillus sp. (in: Bacteria) partial 16S ribosomal RNA
Rfam family: Bacterial small subunit ribosomal RNA
Source: RNAcentral